AUCUUGCUCUUGACCUAACCAAAAGNCGUGUGACUCUUAAUCACAAGGUUAGGGGUUCGAGCCCCCUGCAGGGCU
This 75-nucleotide transfer RNA is filed under the name Zygosaccharomyces bailii CLIB 213. RNAcentral describes it as "tRNA-Lys (CTT) (tRNA-Lys-CTT-11-1)". The record is from RNAcentral. Lineage: Eukaryota; Fungi; Ascomycota; Saccharomycetes; Saccharomycetales; Saccharomycetaceae.